CUGAUGAGUUUAUAUUUACCAUUUCUGAUCAAAAGAGAGAAUAAAGUAGUAUUUCUCAUGGUGUUUGUAUGAUUUAGGCUCUUUAUAAACAAAGUGGUUUAAUUUUAUGAAUGCUUAAGGUGAUAUUUUUGACACAACUAUAUAAUAUAAAUAAAUGUGCACUUGAAUUUAUAAAUGUACAAGUUGAUUUUUAGUAAUUGCCUCUUUUCAUUAAAGUCUCUGACAGAUAAGGCAGUUAAAGAAGAUGUUAUAUAAGCCUUAAAUAAGCACCAUCUAACUUCAAGUCUCAAAAAAUAUCCAGCUAUUUGGUGAAAAUGAUGAAUUCUGGGGUACUGAUUCAUGUGAUCUGAAAAAGCCAUCCAUUUCCUGAUUCACCUUCACAUCUCCUCCAGGAAAAAAAUUAAUAUUUUGCAAUGAAUACCUGCAGUCAAAACAUUUUUAUGUGUUUGUUUUUCUGUCUUUCAGCCACUACCCUGAACUCAUACUUUCAAAAUGAAGAGGAAGGUCCGUACUCAUUAAUAUUGGAUUCCUGUGUUACUACAUCACCCAGCAGUACAAGUGAGAUUUGGGUAAAGAGUACAUAUAUAUGACCUUAUCACUGCUAAAUGGUCUAAAGCACAGGAUAUAGCACUUAUCUGGACUUCAGGCUUUUGUGCUGGCCUUUUUGGGACUGUGUGGGUAGAGACAAAACUUGGCAUAACUCCUGACUUCAUGGAACCGGACCAUUACAAUUUUUAGAAGAAAUCUUAACCAGCUCUGCAGCCCUCAUACUUGGGUAACGUUUCUGUGACACUGGUCUAGCAUUAGGAGCCCUAAAUCACAUUUACCCUGUGAAAGCGUGCUGAGCAGGCAGCAAGUGCCAGGCACCAAGGCGCACAGCAUGGGAAAUGAUGGUGGAGUUGUCAGUGCACAAGAAUUUCAUAAUAAAUUCUCCAAGUAAGCCAGGCCCUAAGUCACUUCUAAAAAGUGAUUUAGCUAAAUUAGAGCAAGCUCCUGGGUGAACAUUUAUGGUUUGCUUUGAGCAUAUCUUAAAUCCACUAAAAAAUGAAGAAAAAAAAAAAAAAAAAGACUAAUUAGAAAAAGUUUUCCCUAUAAUGAGUCUCACUGACUGUCUUUAAUGAGACUUCAUUUACCUUUUUUAUUUAAACGCAGACAGCAUAUUUGUGUGACCAAAAUCUCAUUCAACCUCUGCCCUUUCACUCUCUCAGACUCACGGUGAACACAAAAAGCUAGAAGUACUUGUCUAGAGGGUUUAUGUAGGAGGUAAGACAGUCAGGAACUUAACAAGAUGCAUGGCAUAUUAUAAUAGAUUGUUUUUUCCAGCCAUACAUUCCCUAUCAGCUCAGAUCAUUUAGUAGCACCAGUAAAAGUUUCAAGUCCAAUUCAAGUCAUACUUUCCUCAGUUGCUCCCAAACUGUGUUCAGCUGCCUGUUAGGAAAAAAACUAGAUGGUGUUAUUUACAACCAGUCUUUUUAGUCUAGAAUUGUUAAAACCCAAAAUGCUUGACAACUUGAAAGUGGCUACAGAAGUAGUAUUAGACAAAGAUGAAAGAG
Molecule: long non-coding RNA, 1553 nt
Organism: Athene cunicularia (burrowing owl)
Lineage: Eukaryota; Metazoa; Chordata; Aves; Strigiformes; Strigidae
Exons: 2
Source: RefSeq, a predicted model, not a curated record